This 460-nucleotide ribosomal RNA is filed under the name uncultured bacterium. RNAcentral's name for it is "partial 16S ribosomal RNA". It matches the Rfam family "Bacterial small subunit ribosomal RNA", at positions 338 to 795 of the family's 1533-position model. The record is from RNAcentral.
CCUACGGGGGGCAGCAGUGAGGAAUAUUGGUCAAUGGGCUUACGCCUGAACCAGCCAAGUCGCGUGAGGGAAGACUGCCCUAUGGGUUGUAAACCUCUUUUGUCAGGGAGCAACGCCGGCUACGUGUAGCCGGACUGAGAGUACCUGAAGACAAAGCAUCGGCAAACUCCGUGCCAGCAGCCGCGGUAAUACGGAGGAUGCGAGCGUUAUCGGGAUUUAUGGGGUUAAAAGGGUGCGUAGGCGGAGUGCCGAGUCAGCGGGAAAAUCGCGGGGCUCAACCUCGCUCCGCCGUUGAAACUGGCGUUCUAGAGUGGGCGAGAAGGAGGCGGAAUGCGUGGUGUAGCGGUGAAAUGCAUAGAUAUCACGAAGAACACUGAUGGCGAAGGCAGCAUCCCGGCGCCCAACUGACGCUGAAGCACGAAAGCGUGGGUAUCGAACAGGAUUAGAUACCCCUGUAGUC